This 402-nucleotide ribosomal RNA is filed under the name Clostridioides difficile. Its description in RNAcentral is "bacterial SSU rRNA". It matches the Rfam family "Bacterial small subunit ribosomal RNA", at positions 1011 to 1413 of the family's 1533-position model. The record is from RNAcentral. Lineage: Bacteria; Bacillati; Bacillota; Clostridia; Peptostreptococcales; Peptostreptococcaceae.
GAGUUCCCUUCGGGGACAUUGGUGACAGGUGGUGCAUGGUUGUCGUCAGCUCGUGUCGUGAGAUGUUGGGUUAAGUCCCGCAACGAGCGCAACCCUUGUCUUUAGUUGCCAUCAUUAAGUUGGGCACUCUAGAGAGACUGCCAGGGAUAACCUGGAGGAAGGUGGGGAUGACGUCAAAUCAUCAUGCCCCUUAUGCUUAGGGCUACACACGUGCUACAAUGGGUAGUACAGAGGGUUGCCAAGCCGUAAGGUGGAGCUAAUCCCUUAAAGCUACUCUCAGUUCGGAUUGUAGGCUGAAACUCGCCUACAUGAAGCUGGAGUUACUAGUAAUCGCAGAUCAGAAUGCUGCGGUGAAUGCGUUCCCGGGUCUUGUACACACCGCCCGUCACACCACGGGAGUUG